Long non-coding RNA from Gopherus evgoodei (Goodes thornscrub tortoise), 2794 nucleotides. RefSeq lists it as uncharacterized. The transcript is spliced from 3 exons. The record is from RefSeq and is a predicted model, not a curated record. NCBI's taxonomy places the organism in Eukaryota, Metazoa, Chordata, Testudines, Testudinidae.
CAGACUCCUUGUGAUAUCUUGGCCCAGUAACAAUGUCACUGUACCUGAGCUCCCUGUGUGGCACUGCUCUGCUGCAUGAAGAUAGCUACAUUAAAGGUUGUGAAGUGCUCAGGCACUAUGGUGAUGGUGGCCAUAGACGUACUAAUAAAGCUCUUAAAGGAAAACUCUGCUUGACCCUAAUCUUCAUUGCAUGCUGCCAUUACAGAGGAACUUUCAACUGAGGAUCUGAUUUAGGAAGGUACCAGAAGAGCUAGCCUUUCUGAAGGCUUGCAAUUACAGCCCUGGCCCUCUGCUGCUCAGGUCCUGGACUCUUGGGACCUGUCCUAGUCUGACGGCCAUAAGCCAGUGAGGUUGGCAUGGAGAUAGCUUGAAGACUGCGUAUACAGUAUUGCAUGAGGAAGUUUGCAUGCAGAGGAAAAGAAGAAACCAUAGCAACAGUGGGGGUCCUUUGGACUUAACACUCCACAGACAAGGCCUUGAUGUUAACAUUCUGCCUGCACUCAGUUUGGACAAUCCUCAGUAAAUCUUGUUAAGAGUCCCAGUUUCCCCCCGGCUUCCCCUCGGCCCAAGCUCCACACACCCACACACCCCUUCUGUUCCCUGACCUGCAGUUAGAAAAGUGGUUUCCAGAAGAUGGAAUCAGUCACAGUCCUGUGUUCCCAUCUUCUCUGUGCAAAGGAAGAGGUGGUGGUGAAGGGCGGGGGCUGAGGGCGAGGGGGCAAUCCUGUUAACAAACCUUGGCUAAACAGGCUGCCUCAGGCCUUCCACACAGAGUCUGUUCCCCUGCAUUGAUAUUGAAAUAAGGUGCAAUCCAUCACGCUAGGAACAGGCCCCUUUCACAGAGGCUGAAAAGAGCCACUAUCAAAAGGAGGGAGAAAAACUUGUUAAGGGGAAGGCCAGACUAAAGCAUGGCAGGUGUGUUAUGGAGAGGGAGCCUGUUGGAAUGAGAGGGUGAUUCAUUGCCCUUGUCAGGGGAACAGCUUCAUGAUCUUGCCAGGAAGGGCUCUGUCAGGCAGCAGCAGAGCCCUGUAUGCAGCUCCAAGGUGGUGGCGAGGUGCCCCUUGGUAUCGGGAAGGCAACAGGAGAAUGAUCAGAUGCAGAGGAAUGGGGAGACAGCUGGCUCUGUGCAGGCCCAGAGAGAGCACUGGCAUGUGGGAUGGAAAAUCGCCUUUUUUUGUUCAUAUUUAUGGGAAUCCCCUUUCUGUAGGCGUCUAAGUAAUUUGGAGAGUGAGAUUGGGGAAUUCUUGUACAUUUGAAAAGGUGAUGGGGACAAACAUCUACUGAGCAGGGCUAGACAGAGCCCCCCAAACUCCUUUCACUUGUAACCAGAGCCCAGGCCUCAAGAGGCAGCUUUGUGUGUUCACUCACUGCACCUCCUGGAGCCACAUAAGAGCGAGACCUUGGAUUAAUGGGCACUAGCAAAUGCUACUGUGCGAUCCCAUCACCAAAUCAACCAGUUCUAAUCCCCACCCUAAAUCCCGUUUUAAUCCAUGUUCCUGCAGUUCGCUUGGGACCACUUGGUCACCUCCUGUGUUCAAGCUCCACGUGGCAUUAGGCUGGUACCCAGUGCUGGCGCAGCAGUCAGGGAGGUGCUGCACUCGACGCUUGGUGACACACUCACCCUGUGCUGAUGGCUGGGCAGGAAGAAGUUGAAGAUCACAUAGCACUUUUUGAAAAGCUUUGCAAACCCUAUGAAAUAAAUGACUUGAGCAAUGCCAUAGACAGUGGUAGAAUUAGAACCCAGGAGCUGAUGUUGCUAAACUCUGGGCUCGAACUGCUAAACCACUGUGUAGAGUCUAAAACACCUAGUAUAUCUUAGAGUCCAUUCCCCUAAUAAGGGUGGGCUAUAUCAGACAAUCAGUGGUCUCUACAAAACAGAUCCUAACAUCCAAUGCUAUGUACAACACGAGCCACUGCUAACCACACAAAGGCAAUGGCAUUGCCAUAUGCAGUCACUGCACUCCCAGUGUCUAACUACCUGAAACCAGGUGCAAUGGGAAACUUUAAGCCCUAGCAAACUAGAGAUAGGCCUGAACCAAAACACCCGGAUGGGAAAACCAACACAGUUUGGGGGAGCAGGGCGGUCUCUGACUCCAGAUCCAGAGCUGAAAUUCCUAGCAAGCCCUUUGCCUACUAUGGGCUGAACUCAAACCUAGGACUCAAACACUCUUGAACUUUGGAGUAUUCAAGACCCAGGUCUCAGUUUGGUAGGUCUGGCCCACCUUUGUAAAAAAAACAAUAGAAUUUGUUCUACGCCACUAAGGGCCAGGUCUUGCUCUGAGUAACACUGGGGUCACUCCAGAGUAACUCCAUUUCUGUCAGCAUAGUUACUCCAGACUCACACCAGGUUUGUUCCCAAGUCUCUAUAUUCAAUGAACACUUGGCCUCAGUUCUACCCGCCUGGAUGCCAUCAAUGAGCCUUCCUGAGAAUGCUGAAUGACCAUUGAGAUCCAAUUAUAUCCAAUCCACCAGCAGCUGCUGUUUAUUUACUAGGCUGCUUCCUACCUAUGAAAGACAGAGCAAGGGGACGACGUGCUUCUCAUAUCCGUUGAAGGUGCAGCUAACAAGGAGAUGUGGUGCACUGGCAGGGCCAUUGUUCUGAAGCUAACAGAACUGACUGUGACACUGGAUAUUUCCUCCUCUAAGCUGUAAACAUUGUCAGGCCCUCGCUGCAGCAGGUUUGGCCUUUCCCACAGCAGACAAUGCUGAUAUGUGGGCUAGGGCCCUGGGGAAGCCCACAUCUGCCGGCAGAGGAGGGCCGCCAGCUAGAGUGUCCUGUGGGAGAGGGGGCUGG